CUCUUUCAUUUUCUUCUUUAUUCUCUCAAUCAAUCUCUCUUGAAACCUAUGGAACCACCAUCUCCGACCACCACUACCACAUCUGUUCACGCCAUCUCCACCUAUUGUCCCCAAUUGCUGAAAUCACAUCUCCUCUUAUUCCCUUUCUUUCUUUUGACUAAUCCAUUUUAUUUCCCUCAGUUUAAUCAAGAUUAGAGGUCAUGGGUUCAUACGCGUCACUUGAAUUUGAACGAUGCUACCCACUGGUUCUACUUUUCUUUUUCACUUUUUUUUAUAUGCCUUGUCGCCUUUGCUUCAUCUGUUUGUGUUAUGUUCGCCUAAAGUUCAUUUUUUAACAAUAAAAACCCUAAUUUCUUCUUAUUUGAUUUUGAAGUAGUAUUUGUUUAGUAAUCUACGUGCUACAUGGACGCCUGAUUUCUACUUCCUUUCACACCUUCGUACUGACUCCCUCUCCUCGAUAGUUUGCGAUUACAAUUUAGGGUUCAUGAAUGGUCCUUCAAUUUCUAUUUUGAUCGUUCUCCUAUUAACAUUGGGUUAAUUUCACCGAUGGAUUAGUGUUGAAGAAUAACCUCACCCUUCGUCUUCUACUUUCUUUUAUUUACUCUUUCAACUGGAUGUGAAAUAUAAGUGAACAUCGGGAGUCAACGAUUGAAGAGGAAGCUAAGGGCUGAGCAUCAGGUUUGUAUUUUUGUUUUUUUUUUUUUUUUUGUCUGUUUUAGCUCCGUUAUCUCCUGUAUAUUCUUGGAUUUCUGGCCGUGGUCAAGGGCAGAGGAAGAAGCCAAUGAAGUUGAUUUAAAUGAGUUUACAUAUUUCAUCUUAACUGUUUCCUGUAUCAAGAUUUUUGAUGGUUGUAGUUUAUCUCACGUCUCCCCUGUUGGUCUUCUUGAAGAUCGUCAACAUUUUAACAAGCUUGGAUCUUUAUUUUUCCAUUAAAGCUAAAGUAGGACAAGGUAGCAAUGCAACACAAAGAGAUAUUCAUGUUUUCCAUUUUAAAUUCAAAAAGUAUUAGCUUUCAAUCCGAAAUAUCCUAUUUAAUUGUUAUUUUCGGAUUUAAUUUUUCUAUAAAGGAAAAUUUUAUUUUUUAAAGUUCUCAGGCCUUGGUUUUUAUAACAAAUCAGCUUAGGAAACUCCUUUAGCUUCCAUUACUUGAAGUUUCCAUUUUUGUAGAUAUAUGUUAUGUAUUUUCUUAAAUGCUCUGAGAACUUAACCAUGCAUUAUACUUAGAUCUUUCUUAUUGAUUUAAUAUUACAUAUUGGAGAUUAAUAGAUGCAAGCGUUCUUCCAUAAUUGAUCUUAUUGACAGAGAGCAAACUGAUGAGGUUCUAUAUGUAGAUUUGAGACAAUCAAGGCUCAUGAGGUUUGUACUCUUGUAGUGUAAGUUUUCAACAUAAGGUAUAUCUUUGAGAUGCUAUAUUGGUUUUCGAUAAUUAAGACUAAUCACUAGAAGCAUGAGAUAAACUUUGAUUUCAAGACAAAAUGAUUGUUCGGAAUCAUGGUUAUCAAUAUUCGUUGGAUCAUUUGAUAUUAAAAUCAUACCAUCAAAAAGAAAAUCUCGGUGUUAACAAUAUUAGUUCAGGGAUAAGAUCGGUAUAGAUUUGUUAGGUCAGCCUUCAGCAGUAGGUACAUAGACAAGCUUGUCGAUCAAAUCCCACCUUCUUCGCCGCCUCAUGAGUAAAUUUUUGUUUUGAGUUUGUUGUUUGGAUGUUCUUGAAUAUGUACUUUAUGAAGAUUGAUGAUUUCUUACUUAUACAUCUUUCAUACAUUUGCUUUUGAAAACAGUUAUAAUCCUUUUUUUCAUACCAUUGUAAUAACAUCUAAACCUUUUUAAUCUUUUAAUUUCCAUUUAAUUCUUUCUAACUGUCUAAUGAUUAACUGAUUUUUCAUGCUAUCUUCCAUUGUUCCAUGUAUUUGAAGUAAUUACUAAUUACUUUUUUAUGGUCACUUAAUUAUUUUUCUUAACAAAAGUUGUCCAUGCAAGUUAUUUUGCUUCCUAAGGUUGGGUAUUGUUUUUAUGAUUUCUCUAAAAUUGAUAAUUUUAUGUUUGUAUACUAUUGUUCUUGUGUAUCUGAUUUGGGUUCUUUUUUUGUAUAUAGGACAAAUAAUGCAAUGCUUUCAUGGCACCAGGUAAAAAUUUUAUUCUUACAAAUAAAAACCCAAAUCACAAUGUACUUUAAUACAUUCAUCAAUAAUAUCCAUCUACUUUCAUUUUAACAUGUUCAAACACUGUACUAUAAAACUUUAGACUUUAAAUUAAAAUUGAGAAAGACAAAUGAAAAAAAAUCCUUACAUUACAAAUGUGCUAUGUUUUUUAGGUAGCAUCUUUAAGUAAAGGUCGGUGGAAAAAGCCCAAUAGAGUUGUGCUUCACAAGCUUCAUGAUGCAUGCGAAAAUACGGACAUCUUUAGAUCAACAAAAAUUUAAUCAUAUUCUGUGAAAACUCAAGCAAGAUUUAUUCUUGCGAUUUUUUAGUGAACUUAUCCAAAUAACUUGACAUGGUGAUAUUUUUAUUGAUUUCUAUAUCCAAAACUUACAAGCCCCAUCAAUUAUUGUAAAAAUCACACAUGCUUGAAACAAAAGAGUAUAUACAAUAAACUUAUACCAAAAGUUCUUCAUCUAAGACUACACAGGGUCGUCCUUAGGACGGCCUUAAG
RNAcentral lists this long non-coding RNA (2649 nucleotides) under Lactuca sativa (garden lettuce). RNAcentral describes it as "long non-coding RNA (LSAT_LNC005589)". Lineage: Eukaryota; Viridiplantae; Streptophyta; Magnoliopsida; Asterales; Asteraceae. The record is from RNAcentral.